This 460-nucleotide ribosomal RNA is filed under the name uncultured bacterium. RNAcentral describes it as "partial 16S ribosomal RNA". It matches the Rfam family "Bacterial small subunit ribosomal RNA", at positions 338 to 795 of the family's 1533-position model. The record is from RNAcentral.
CCUACGGGAGGCAGCAGUGAGGAAUAUUGGUCAAUGGGCGUGAGCCUGAACCAGCCAAGUAGCGUGAAGGAUGACUGCCCUAUGGGUUGUAAACCUCUUUUAUCAAGGAAUAAAGUGAGCCACGUGUGCCUUUUUGUAUGUUCUUUAUGAAUAAGGAUCGGCCAACUCCGUGCCAGCAGCCGCGGUAAUACGGAGGAUCCGGGCGUUAACCGGGUUUAUUGGGUUUAAAGGGAUCGUAGAUGGGUUGUUAAGUCAGUUGGUAAAGUGUGCGGCUCAAACGUAAAAUUGCAGUUGAUACUGGCGGCCUUGAGUACAGUUGAGGUAGGCGGAAUGCGUGGUGUAGCGGUGAAAUGCAUAGAUAUCACGAAGAACUCCGAUUGCGAAGGCAGCAUACUAAACUGCCACUGACAUUGAUGCUCGAAAGUGUGGGUAUCAAACAGGAUUAGAUACCCUAGUAGUC